This 1093-nucleotide long non-coding RNA is filed under the name Marmota monax (woodchuck). Lineage: Eukaryota; Metazoa; Chordata; Mammalia; Rodentia; Sciuridae. The record is from RNAcentral.
GUCAGAGCAGAGCUGCAGGCCGCCCUUCCGUCAGCAGGAAGCCCAGCCACAAACACUUGGACAGGAAGCCUGUGUGCUGGCCAGCUGAGCCAGCUCUGGUUUCUCCUGCGUCUGAGGGUUUGGCCCAGGGUAGAGGAAGGCGAGCCAGGUGCUGCGGGCUGCACUGACAGGACCACGAACUCCCCCUUGGGCUGGGGAUGUGGGUUCAAGGGUGUGAGCGGAAAAGCAUCAUCCAGGCUGGAGCAAGGAGGCACUUCCUGGAGGAAGGGCGAGGAGCAGGGACUACGGUGUUUACCGGGCUGGGCCAGCAAGACCCCUUUGUGAUGGUUAAAUUGUGCCCAGAUAAAAUGUGCCCAGUCCCCCAGUGCAAACCCAGGCUGCCUCCACCUCAGGGAACAUACUCUCCAGUCUCGUGGGGUGGGAUGCCCGCACAAUCCCAGCUUGAAGGAUGACUCCUUUCAAGAGAACUGUCCCAUUAGAGAAUGACUGAAAAACAGUGAGUUCAGCCGGGACAAAGGCGAUUUUGCAUGCAGGGCUCAUUCUAGGUGUGAUUAUCCUUAAGACAGUUUAUGUACCUACAUCAGCCACUGACACCCCCAGGAUUAUAGAGCAUUUGAACUUCUUCACAAAGACUUUUGGGUAUUUCCCCUCACCUUGGCAUCUUGCAACCUGAUAGACCAGUUAGAGAUGGCCAGUGUCAGGGCCCAGGUAAGUAGCUUGGCCCAGCUCAGCAGUGGCAGAGCCCAGGUCAUACUGUGACUUCUGUUGGUCUAGAAAGAGAACCAAAUGGUUUCUUUCCAGGCAUGUGGGCAUCUUUUAUUGUGCAGGCUGCCUGGGGGAUGAGCCCUGGGCUGGGAUCUGCUGCUAAUAGACUGUUCGGGUGUCGAAGCCCAUUCUGAAAGCCUCCUGGGACAUCCUGCCGGGGGCUCUAGUCACUCCUCCGCAUUCUCACAUCUUCAUUUAUACCUAAUAAUCCAGAGUUGAUUGUGGUCUGUGGCCUCUGUGGUUCUGACUCUAGGCCAGGGCUCAGCAACUUUUUCUAUAAAGGGCUGGGUAGUAAAUAUCUUAAGCUUUGUGGGAAAACGGUCUCAGU